AACUCACUGGAGCCAGUAAGUGAACCAACAACCAAUUGAGAUCAUAAACAUGACAUAAGCAAAGUAAGUGAAUAAACAAACAUAAAAGAUCGUCAUCUCCAUGACAACAAAGUAAGUGAAUCAACAACAAUAUGAAAUACUAAUCGUUUAAAUCAUAGUUGUGGUGAACGCAAAGUACGUUACGUUAAACAACAAACAUAUAUCACUUCAUAAUUGUGAAGUUAGAAAUUAACAACAAUAUGAGUUCAAAAUCGUGAAACAAAAAAGCAAAGAUAGUGUUCUAAAAAGCAAACAAACUAUAAAUCAUAAUCAUAUUAAUCAUAAAUUUGAUGUUCGGACCGUUUGUGGUCCAACGAUGAAAUAAUAAUGUACUAAAUAUAUGUUCAAUGGAACAAAUUAAUUAUAACACGCUAUGUGCAAUAAGAUCUAAAUAUAUUCAUACCUGAAUCGUAAAUGAUGUAAUAUCAAUGUAAUCAAAACUAAUAUGUAAUAUUAAAUAAUAAUUAAAUAAUGUAAAAAUAAAUAUAUAUAUAUAUAGUGAAAGCAUAUAAUGCAGAACUUUAAAACUUGAAUACAAUAUUCAUCUUGAACGCAAUAGUGUAUGAAUACACCAAAGAAAUAACAUGUGAUGCCCAUCACUAAGAAGAAUUAUAAAUAAUCGUAAAUAUAUUAAAGGGCAUCACUUACAAGAAGUCAGCUUAUGGGGUGACUGCAGUCUCCAGUGAG
This 726-nucleotide long non-coding RNA is filed under the name Mytilus galloprovincialis (Mediterranean mussel). The record is from RNAcentral. Lineage: Eukaryota; Metazoa; Mollusca; Bivalvia; Mytilida; Mytilidae.